GAGUUUGAUCCUGGCUCAGAUUGAACGCUGGCGGCAGGCUUAACACAUGCAAGUCGAGCGGGGAAGUAUAGCUUGCUAUACGACCUAGCGGCGGACGGGUGAGUAAUGCUUAGGAAUCUGCCUAUUAGUGGGGGACAACAUUCCGAAAGGAAUGCUAAUACCGCAUACGCCCUACGGGGGAAAGCAGGGGAUCUUCGGACCUUGCGCUAAUAGAUGAGCCUAAGUCAGAUUAGCUAGUUGGUGGGGUAAAGGCCUACCAAGGCGACGAUCUGUAGCGGGUCUGAGAGGAUGAUCCGCCACACUGGGACUGAGACACGGCCCAGACUCCUACGGGAGGCAGCAGUGGGGAAUAUUGGACAAUGGGCGCAAGCCUGAUCCAGCCAUGCCGCGUGUGUGAAGAAGGCCUUUUGGUUGUAAAGCACUUUAAGCGAGGAGGAGGCUACUUGGAUUAAUACUCUAGGAUAGUGGACGUUACUCGCAGAAUAAGCACCGGCUAACUCUGUGCCAGCAGCCGCGGUAAUACAGAGGGUGCGAGCGUUAAUCGGAUUUACUGGGCGUAAAGCGUGCGUAGGCGGCUUUUUAAGUCGGGUGUGAAAUCCCUGAGCUUAACUUAGGAAUUGCAUUCGAUACUG
RNAcentral lists this ribosomal RNA (632 nucleotides) under uncultured bacterium. Its description in RNAcentral is "bacterial SSU rRNA". It matches the Rfam family "Bacterial small subunit ribosomal RNA", at positions 9 to 635 of the family's 1533-position model. The record is from RNAcentral.